RNAcentral lists this ribosomal RNA (253 nucleotides) under uncultured bacterium. RNAcentral's name for it is "partial 16S ribosomal RNA". It matches the Rfam family "Bacterial small subunit ribosomal RNA", at positions 524 to 776 of the family's 1533-position model. The record is from RNAcentral.
UACGGGGGGAGCAAGCGUUGUUCGGAUUUACUGGGCGUAAAGGGCGCGUAGGCGGCGUGACAAGUCACCUGUGAAAUCUCCGGGCUUAACCCGGAACGGUCAAGUGAUACUGUCGUGCUAGAGUACAGAAGGGGCAACUGGAAUUCUCGGUGUAGCGGUGAAAUGCGUAGAUAUCGAGAGGAACACCUGCGGCGAAGGCGGGUUGCUGGGCUGAUACUGACGCUGAGGCGCGAAAGCCAGGGUAGCGAACGGG